This 253-nucleotide ribosomal RNA is filed under the name uncultured bacterium. RNAcentral's name for it is "partial 16S ribosomal RNA". It matches the Rfam family "Bacterial small subunit ribosomal RNA", at positions 524 to 776 of the family's 1533-position model. The record is from RNAcentral.
UACGGAGGGAGCUAGCGUUAUUCGGAAUUACUGGGCGUAAAGCGCACGUAGGCGGCUUUGUAAGUUAGAGGUGAAAGCCUGGGGCUCAACCCCAGAAUUGCCUUUAAGACUGCAUCGCUUGAAUCCAGGAGAGGUGAGUGGAAUUCCGAGUGUAGAGGUGAAAUUCGUAGAUAUUCGGAAGAACACCAGUGGCGAAGGCGGCUCACUGGACUGGUAUUGACGCUGAGGUGCGAAAGCGUGGGGAGCAAACAGG